Molecule: ribosomal RNA, 422 nt
Filed under: uncultured bacterium
Lineage: Bacteria
Description: partial 16S ribosomal RNA
Rfam family: Bacterial small subunit ribosomal RNA
Source: RNAcentral
GAAUAUUGGACAAUGGGGGCAACACUGAUCCAGCCAUGCCGCGUGUGUGAAGAAGGCCUUUUGGGUGUAAAGCACUUUAAGCAGCGAAGAAGACUCCAUGGUUAAUACCCAUGGACGAUGACAUUAGCUGCAGAAUAAGCUGCGGCUAACACUGUUCCAUCAGCCGCGGUAAUACAGAGGAUGCAAGCGUUAAUCGGAAUUACUGGGCGUAAAGCGAGCGUAGGUGGCUUGAUAAGUCAGAUGUGAAAUCCCCGGGCUUAACCUGGGAACUGCAUCUGAUACUGUUAGGCUAGAAUAGGUGAGAGGAAGGUAGAAUUCCAGGUGUAGCGGUGAAAUGCGUAGAGAUCUGGAGGAAUACCGAUGGCGAAGGCAGCCUUCUGGCAUCAUAUUGACACUGAUGUUCGAAAGCGUGGGUAGCAAAC